This 104-nucleotide ribosomal RNA is filed under the name Salmonella enterica. Its description in RNAcentral is "partial 23S ribosomal RNA". It matches the Rfam family "Bacterial large subunit ribosomal RNA", at positions 2822 to 2925 of the family's 2925-position model. The record is from RNAcentral. Lineage: Bacteria; Pseudomonadati; Pseudomonadota; Gammaproteobacteria; Enterobacterales; Enterobacteriaceae.
GUCUCCUGAAGGAAUGUUGAAGACGACGACGUUGAUAGGCCGGGUGUGUAAGCGCAGCGAUGCGUUGAGCUAACCGGUACUAAUGAACCGUGAGGCUUAACCUU